UACGUAGGAGGCAAGCGUUGUCCGGAAUUACUGGGCGUAAAGCGCGUGUAGGUGGUGGGACAAGUCUGCUGUGAAAGCGCCUGGCUUAACCGGGCGAGGUCGGCGGAAACUGUCACACUUGAGGACGGUAGAGGGGGGUGGAAUUCCCGGUGUAGUGGUGAAAUGCGUAGAGAUCGGGAGGAACACCUGUGGCGAAGGCGGCCCCCUGGGCCGGCCCUGACACUGAGACGCGAAAGCGUGGGGAGCAAACAGG
Molecule: ribosomal RNA, 253 nt
Filed under: uncultured bacterium
Lineage: Bacteria
Description: partial 16S ribosomal RNA
Rfam family: Bacterial small subunit ribosomal RNA
Source: RNAcentral